CAUGGUGGGGCUGUAUCAUUGGGACACCCAUUAGGAUGCAAUGGAGCUCGUAUCUUGGUCACAUUGUUAGGGGUAUUGAGACAUAAAAAGGGAAAGUACGGGGUUGGUGUCAUAUGCAACGGUGGCGGGGGAGCUUCUUCACUUGUUCUUGAGCUCAUUGUUGAAUGUUUUAAACUAAA
Humulus lupulus (European hop) is the source of this 179-nucleotide long non-coding RNA. RefSeq lists it as uncharacterized. The record is from RefSeq and is a predicted model, not a curated record. Lineage: Eukaryota; Viridiplantae; Streptophyta; Magnoliopsida; Rosales; Cannabaceae. The transcript has 3 exons.